Molecule: non-coding RNA, 90 nt
Organism: Mycena polygramma
Lineage: Eukaryota; Fungi; Basidiomycota; Agaricomycetes; Agaricales; Mycenaceae
Source: the annotation of a GenBank genome assembly
GCCUUGCUAGCUCAAUCGGUAGAGCGUGUGACUUUUACACUUAUGUAAUUGGCAAUCCCAAGGUUGCGGGUUCGAGUCCCGCGUGAGGCU